Molecule: RNA transcript, 1065 nt
Organism: Symsagittifera roscoffensis
Lineage: Eukaryota; Metazoa; Xenacoelomorpha; Acoela; Convolutidae
Gene name: V-type proton ATPase 116 kDa subunit a1-like
Exons: 3
Source: RefSeq, a predicted model, not a curated record
AUCGCCAUAACCAGAAAGACAUGCAUGAUAAUUGAUUUUAAAAACACAGAUUUAGUAAGAUACCAGAAAAGGAGUCAAUUCAUGAGUGGUGACUAAAGCACGUCUGCCUUAACUCCUUGGUGUCAUUUUCUGGGUUGGAUAAGAGUUAAUUGUUUUGAGAUGAGACGGACUCUGUAUGUUGGCAGGGCCUCUCUUUCAAAAACUUGAGUAAUGCUGACGAGGACGCGGAGGGUGCGCAGGGCCUCAUCUCGCAUGACGAGCUGGCCGAACAGUCCUCCCAGGAACCCCACGUCAUAGAUUCCGAAGCCCAACCCCAGUCAAUAGGGGCAGCUCAAAAAGGGGGUUCUCAUGGUCAUGAUGACGAUGAGUUCGACUUCGGUCAGAUCAUGAUCCUGCAAGCCAUCCACACCAUCGAGUUCUGUCUCGGAUGUAUCUCGCACACCGCCUCCUACCUCCGACUGUGGGCACUCUCCCUCGCACAUGCCGAGCUCUCGGAGGUGCUGUGGAGCAUGGUGAUGGUCCAGGGUCUGAAUGGAACGCGAGGUCUGGUUGGAUGUGUUAUUGUUGUACCUGUUUUUGCAGCUUGGGCUUGUUUGACUGUGGCGAUUCUGUUGCUGAUGGAAGGAUUGUCGGCUUUCUUGCACGCGCUACGACUGCAUUGUUCAAAUUAAUUUGCGGAAAAGAACGAAAAUUACGCUCUCCAAUAACGAAAACACAAAUGGCGCAAAAAACGCGAGUGACGUUGAUAUUCAGAAGUGGGCUUAACUUAAAGAUUUCGCAGUGGAAUAAAAUAUUAUCUGUAGGUCCAUUUACGUUUUCUCUAAAUGGGCUGUUUGUUUAUCAAUAAAGUGUCUAUCAUAAAUUUAGCAAGUUGAAACCCAAAGAGCUUUAAAUUGAUACAUUUUUCAAUUUGAAACCAAGAAACGAUAAAAAAAUUAUAAAAUAAGCUUUUUUUCGGUUACCUUGAGGUCAUUAUCUCUUUUACAGCUGCUUGUUGGCUAUUUUUCUUGCCGUUGUGCCCACGAAGAGGGUUUUGUCUUUUUGUUCAAUCUACCUCAUCGUUAG